AAUAUUUAAAAAUUUAAAACAAGGAAAGAAACAGCCGUGAUGGGACCGCAGCGCUUAGCUUAGCUUAGCUCUCUGGACCUUUUAACUUUAGUCUUCUCCAGUUUAAACUUUUUAAAUAUUUUUAUUUUAUGAUGUUUAUGUGAAACAGAAGCAUUGACGAUGCAGUUUUUGUUUCUCUUCGUUCAGAAACAACAGACUCGUAAGAUUGAAAUCGACGCAAUGAUGUACAAGAAGACCAGGAGGAACCUUUGUUGAAGGAAACUCCUGUAUACGUCAUCACCUGACCUCUGACCUGUUUACAUCACGUGUCCAGAUGAAUCUGUCCAAAGAUCUGAAAAAAGGGACUUAUUGGAAGGAGUUCCUGACUGACGCUCUGCCAGUGAAGCUGACAGGGAUGAAGCGCUACACCGAGUUCGUGGUGGAUCGGCUGCUGCUGGAGCUUCUCUAAGGUUGAGAAGUCUUUGCUAUGAGGCUGGCUGGUUGGAUGGUGCCAUAAAGCUACUCAGAUCCUCAGAUUGGACACAGUUCAAAGAUGAAGCAGUGGAGGACUGGACUGUCCUCCCCACCUGAUCAAGGAUCUUUACAACCUUGAGUGCAAAAAAACUGUCAUCUUCCUUUUUAAGAGGCCCAGCCUAACUUUCAUUUUUUUUUACAUUUAGUUCUCAUAAGUGUUGGCAGUUUGGACUGCUGAGUUAAGGUUUUGUAUUUAUAGCCUAGCUAAGACCUUAAUUUUAAAUGGUCUCAAAUAUCCAUGUCACGUUACCCUUUACACCUUGUUUACAUGAGGAAAUGUCACGCAUGCGCACAACGCUGCCAUGGCCGCUAGAACAUUUCCGUUAACCAUUAGAUGAGAUGUAGGUGUGUAGUGCUAUGCACCGCAGCAAAGGGAAGAACAAUGAAAUAUUUAAACCUUUUUAAUCAACCUUUUACAAGCAGUCUCGUUGCCAUAGCAACUGGCAAUGUCACCAAUGUAUCAGGAUCAGAAAAACAUUUUCUACAUAAACGGAACAUGUUUUAUGUCUUCAGGUUUGAUGUUUAUUUUGCUAUUAAUCGCUGUGGCAGAUUAGAUAAUUUAAUGUCCUACUGAUCCGGUGUUUCAACUCGACCGAAACACCGAACUCAAUCACGUCUACAUGCUGUAGUUGUCAAACUAGCAUAACUUUUCUCUACCUUAACAUUAAAGCUAAAUGUUAACACUAGCUUUAGUGUGAAUUAGUAGCAAAGCACACUUUAUCUUUUAGAUAUCAGGCGCACAUUUAACAUUUCGCGUGUGAUAUUUACAACUUAACAGCUAAAACCAAUGCUAGUCAUCGUCGGCUAGCGGAUAUUUUUGCCCUCCAGCAGGACGAUGGGAGGCGUGACGUCACACUGCAAGGGAGCCAAAGUGUUAUGGUGCACAAAAAAAAGUCGUUAAAGUAAAUUCUUAGCACAGCAUGUUGGAUUAAUGUUAUCAGAUUAUUUUUCCAUCAGUCACAACAUUAAAAACAAAAUCAAUCUACAUGAAUCCGCCAUCUUUUCUUCUCUUCACAUCUUUACAUCCUUGAGUGCAAAAAACGGUCAUCUUCCUCUUUAAGAGGCCAGUAAUAAUACAACAUUCAAUGUUAUAAUCAAGCAUUAGGAUUAUUUCACUCUUAGCCUUGAAUCCGUCACAUUGAUCCAGAAAUCACUGCAGUAAUUAAUUAAUGUUAAUGAUAGAAUAUCAGAGGCGUCAGACAUGCUUCACGGCCGGGGUGUCCAAACGUCUCAUCGAAACAAGAAUACCUGGAAGCCAAAAAUAACUUAUUUCACCUCCUCAAUAAACUAAGCAUGUAAUACUUGACUUACACAGAAACAGCCAGAUUUGAUGCUGGAAAGGGAUUAUUAUGUAUCCAAACAGGUUUUUUGCAGCCAAUAUUUUUAUUUUAAGAAAGAAAAUAUUGGCUACAGAAUACUGUGAUAAUUUUAUCCUAAUUAAAAAUAGAAACGCCUAUGAACCUGGCCAUUGAAAAUAAAAUAAAAGGAGUAAUGAAUUUCCACUAAAAAACUAAGUUUGAAUUUUGAGAUUAAUAUCAGA
This is a long non-coding RNA of Poecilia latipinna (sailfin molly), 2053 nucleotides long. RefSeq lists it as uncharacterized. The record is from RefSeq and is a predicted model, not a curated record. NCBI's taxonomy places the organism in Eukaryota, Metazoa, Chordata, Actinopteri, Cyprinodontiformes, Poeciliidae. The transcript has 7 exons.